Molecule: long non-coding RNA, 17916 nt
Filed under: Linum usitatissimum (flax)
Lineage: Eukaryota; Viridiplantae; Streptophyta; Magnoliopsida; Malpighiales; Linaceae
Description: long non-coding RNA (LUSI_LNC005699)
Source: RNAcentral
GCCUCUCCAAUUGGCAGCCGCUGCAGUACAGCCUUCCCGACAUUCUCCACCACCGCCCACUCCUUAUCUCCUCCGCUCCCAGCAUCAUCAUCUGGGCCUACGUUCGUUUUCGGCCCUCUACGAUCCGGAGUACCGAGUCUACUUGGGCCCGGGACGGCGGCGUGGAGACCCAAUUGACGACGAGGGGGAUUUUGUCAGCAAGGAGGGCGGAGUGGAUUUCAUCAGAGGCGGUGGGGAGUUGGUACGGGAGGACGCCUUGGAAACCGUGCUGGGUCAGGGAAAGACAGUUGGCGUGUGCCGAUUCGCAGGCGGAGGAGAACGCCGACGAGCUACUGAGGGUGCUUUCCGCUUGUUUCGAUGGUGAAAUCCCCAUCUCCCCACUCACUCAAACUCAGUUUUGGUUUCUGCUUGCCUUCCCCUUCCUAAAUCCUACGCCUGGAUAAGAUAAGGUCGCUCCUGAACGACGCCGUUUUCUGCGUAAAGGCUCCUUUUUUUGGGUUUUCGUUUGAAUUGAUAAACCCUCAACUCAACUCAACUCAACGCUUCAGAAUCAACCUCACCCUGCACUAAUCUUCCUUGUUCAUCACUUGUAACAUUAUCCACCCUAAUUCGCUUUUCUCUCCACCUCCUCCUCACCUCCUCCAUCUUUUCCGAUAGAGAAAGAGGGAGAGGAGAUUAACGGCAAAGAAUCCAGGGGGAAAGAGCUCUCGACGAGAUCAAACUAACGAUUCCAAUUUACAGGUUAGAGGUUAUCUCUGUACAUGCUCUACUAAACUUGUUAGCAAUAGGUUCCUAUGUCAUGCCUGCUUUUUAGUUUCAUUUGAGUAUCUUAGUACAUUGUUUGGUUAACAUUACUUUUUUGUUUACUGUGGCAAUUUGAUGGUGUUACAUCUUAGCAAACUUGUUAUCCAUAUUGGUCGGACUGCAAUUUAUUUUUUCUGUAUCUGAUGAGUUGGUUUGCUGCUUAACGCUCUUGUCAUUCUUGUAUUACAUGAGCACUAGUUGAUAUUGUGAUUUGUGAACUUCGUCUCCUGAAUUGACUAGCUUUACUUCACCAUUAUCUGCUUAGUGGGAUUGGAGGAAUUGGCUUCUAAAUUGGGCUUCUUAGGAUCGUGGCAUCAUCUCGUUGCCUGUUUUGAUUUUUCCCGAUGAACUUGAUGGUUGUGGUGGGGUUAUAUAAGAACCGGUUUCUCUGUUAAUUUGGGCAUUCUUGAAGUUUGCUGGUCACUGAAAUGUUGCAUACUUGCGUAGUAUUGCUGAGUCAGUGCCAUGCUUCCUGAUUUGACAGAAAGUGGAGUCUAAUUGUGAAGAUUGAAAUAGGAUAACGAUGGUAUUUGGAUAUACAUUAGCAGCAUGGUGUAGCAAUAUGGGUGCGGAAUUGCAUCUGUAGGUUAUUGCUUUGCUAUCCCUGCAAGUUCUUCCAAGUAUUAUAGCUCAAACUCUGUCAAUUUUUGUAAUGACAAACUGACUAUGAAGGCAUUGGUUGAGAAUCUCGAUGAGAGAGUUACCAGAUCUGCAGGUGUUUGAUGCCUUGUUAUUUAGUUGUUGUAUAGGGACUCCCAUAGUAUUCAUGACACAACGUUUGCUUUUCUUUAGAAUUUAAUCAUUGAUAAGCAUUUGGUUUUUCCAGUCAAGACUUGCGUGGCUGCAUGGUCUUACUUUGGGUACCAACUAUCGCUACUAUGGUUACAAAUUGCCCAGAAUGAAACCAAGGCGCUUAGUUGGUUUACUCCAAAACUUUGCUGAUGUAUGCAACCCUUUUUUUUUGUUUUGAGUUGACUGAAUCACGUUUCAUUGUGGAACCCACUGUUGGAGAAAGCUGAUAAAGUUGCUGAGUCCACAACUCUGCGCUUGCUACCAUCUCCGGAGCUGCAUCCUUACUCACUGGGAUGAGCAUAGGUAUGGAGUUUCCAGUGAUAGAGACUUCUACAAAUCAGGGUAUUUAUAUUGUUUAUUUCCAAUUGGAGAAGGAAAAUUGGUGAGAAACCAAAUAUAGAGGAGGAACACGUCGUGUUCCUAUAGGACACGUUGUGUUCCUAAAGGACACAGGCGUGUUCUCUAAAAAUCGCUUCUCGGUCCGAAAGUUCCAGAGAAAAGGACACGGGCGUGUGCUUGAGGAACACGUCGUGUCCAAUGAUAACACCGUGUACUCUAAGGACACGACCGUAUUCCAUGAAAUUAACUUAUCAGCCGUAACUUCUUUAGGAACACGCCAUGUCCCAAAGCUUACAACAACUUAAAUAAUCUGUCUUAGUUCUCACUUGUCCCCAAACACUAUAUAUCGUCUGAAUUUUGUGAUUUAUUCAUUCUUUGAUACGUUUAGCUCAUCUUUGCAAGUCAUACGAUUUCGAAUAGUGCCCCGACGUCGCCGUGUGCUUGAAAUGAAUAAAAAACACUACGAAACAACAUCAAAUGGAUCCUGAAUGGGUCUGAGACACUAAAUUGAGAUAGAAGUUAGAAAUGCAUGAAACACCCUAAACUUCUACUCAAACCUAUACGAAUAUGCAUGAAAUGUCGAUUAAACGAGGGCGAUGAACAUGACAAAUCGAGUGUCAUCAAAUACCCUCAUACUUAAACUUUUCUUGUCCUCAAAUAAAAGGCUGAUAAAAGUCAAUGAAUACAUCUACAAUCAAAUUAACUACUUAACGAAGCAAAGAAAAUUCGUAAUCCCCAAUGCACCCCUAAAUUUGCUUAAUAGACCAAUGAACCUUAAACAAACCAAAAUAAGAUGUAAAGGUCUCACAAGAAGUUUUUCAACUUGUCACACAUCAUCAUACACGUUACAUCAACCAUCUAGACUUACUCUCAAGGGGAUUAAGCUCAAAGAUAAAAACAAAAAUGAAUUCACUCAUAGUGUUUCAAGGAUAGUGUUUAUGCACUCAUCAUUAUCUCUGAAGUGCGCUUCCAAAACUUGCACAUCAACCUACUCCUACUCAUCACAUUAAGACACUUCAAACACUAAUCCAGAGGUCUUUUAUGGCUUUGUAAUAUGGACAGAACAGAAAAGAGAAGGUGAAAUGACUUUGGUCGUGAAUGUACACAGCGGUGAACGAGUCGGUCUACUAUAAUGAGGAGUUAAAUUACUACUUACAAAUAGCAUUAUGCAAGGAUCUAAUUCAAUCAAGAGUUUCAAACUAACUCGUCUAUCCCUUAGACAAAUACUACUACUUCGAGCUUUUGAGCUCGUUUAUUCAACUAACUCGAGACCUUUUGGUCCUUUUUUUGAUUUUUUCUACUUUUCUUAUCUCAAGACUGGAUUUUUUACUUGUCUCCUUCCUUUUUUCAAAAUAUUCACCAUUUUUUCUCUUUUUCUCAUUUUUCGAAACUCUACAUAAACAUCAACAAUAAAUGCUUGAAAGAAAGGGGUUACUAUAUUAUUGGGGGUUAUGAAAAGGGUUUUUGAUUAUGAUUGAGUUAUCUAGGGGGGAACAUAAUGACAGGAUGGAUAUUUUCUAUGGAGCUUUUCUAAGUGCCUCUAUCGUUUUAGUGCAUUAGUGUCGAGCGAAUUCAGAGCGGUAUCAUGCAAGUAUCAGAUUAGCAACAAACAGAGAAGACCACUCAAAUCAAUUUUUCAGAAAAAUCUACUAAUGAAACAAUUAAUCUAUACUACAAAAUGGUCUUUUAGGCCUCGCAUUGUUUUGCUAGAUAAUAAUUUAAUAACAUGCAUGCCUGGUUACAUCAAGUUGGAGAGUCCGUGCUAUUUUAAACACGUCAAAGUAACUCAAAAGAAUGAAUCAAUAGACUUUGAUCACAUGCUUAAACUCCUAUCACAUAUAGGUUCACAAGUAAAUCAGCAAUUCAAGUGCACAAAUCGCUGGGAAACUUUCUAAGCAUGUUAAGUAAUUGAUUCAAGGAUGGUUCCAACAUGCUUGAAACUUGGACUGAUAUGGAAGAUGAAAAAAAUACCCAUGAAGAUUAGCUAACAAGAAUCCUAUGCAAACUCACCCCACACUUAGUUUGGACAGUGUUCUCAUUGAACGAAAUGGAAAAGUUGCAUAGGCAUACUUGGAAGCCGUGAGCAAACCGAUGAGGCAAGAAGCAUGAUCCAUUGAAACUCGAACUCGGCGGCCAACCAACUCCUGAAACUCACUCAAACACACACAUAAAAACCAAAAAAAAAAGUAAAAAGGAAUUAGGACAAUUGUCCAAGUCCCACACAUAAGACCUAUACAUGCAAUCCAACUAAUAUAAAAUGCAAAAGACUGACUCCAGACAUGGGCUGCCUCCCAUGAAGCGCUCUUUCUUUAAUGCUUUGAGAUAGACGAUACUUGGAUCAUUAAGUUGGGGCAACUCAACUUAGAACUUCUUUGAGGCUAGCAUCGUUGCUUUUUUACAUACAACUUAUCUGCUCCACUCCUAAGUAGCCACUUUCUCUUCCCAGCAAAAAGAAGUUUCACUGUACCAUCAUUUCUAACGUCGGUGACUUCAAAUAGUGUGAUCCACUCAUCUUUGACUACGUUAUCAUCAGGGGGCUUGGUUGGUUGCCUCGCCUCUUCCCAUUUUGGCUCCCCUUUUUCGUUGGUAGGGACCAUCUCUCCAUUUACCUGUUUCUUUGGGAUCACUUUCUACUCAAAAGAUGGGUCAUUAGACAAAGCAGAAUCGAGAGUGACAACAUUCACUUUAGCAAGUUGUGUUCCAUUCAAGUUAAGCUUAAAGGAUACAGUCAUGCUCGAGGUGGAACUAGAUAUCUCAAGGGCAAUCUUUUCUCCUCCCAUCCUCAAAGUCAUCCAUCAUGUCUACACAUCUAUGAUUGCACCAGUAAUGGCUAAUUACGAUCGACUAAGGAUGAGAGGAGUUUUAUUGUCCUCUCUGUUAUCCAUUACCACAAAAUCAACAGGGCGAUAGCUAUCAUACACAUUCACUAGCACAUUCUCUACCAUCCCUAAAGGCUGCUUAAUGAACCUAUCAAUAAAUAGGACAUUCAUAUCGAUUGAAAUUAACUUAGAUAGUCCUAAACGCUUAAAUAGUGAAUAUGGAAUGAUGUUAAUACUAGCACCUAAAUCAGCUAAUGCUCUAUCAACAUGGUGAUUAUUAAUAACAGAAGAGAUUGAAAAGUUCCCCGGGUCCUUUUGCUUAGGUGCCACUUUAGCCUACAAGAUCACCGAGCAUUCUUCACCGAAUGUUGCUAUCGGGGCUACGUCUUCUUUCAUCUUCCCAAGGAAUAACUUCUUCAAAAUUGUUGCAUAUGUUGGAAUUUUGGUGACGAAGUCCAAGAAGGGGAGACAAACUCCCUGGUUGCAGAGUAAUUCUGCAAAUUUGUCAUCGUCUGCUAGAAAGCUCUUUCUUAUAAGGGUUGUUGGGUAAGGCGGCCUUAUAUAUCUCUAUCUCCACUGGUGUGAGGAUGAAGUUUGUGUUUGUCGGUAAUCGAGCCUUUCGCGGUGGUCUACUCCUCUUAAUCUGAGCUUCCUACUUUAGCUGUUCAACUUGGUAGGCAUCUUCAAUUUCAUUAUGCCUAUCCCAUAUGGAUAUGACAUGCACUCCCUCUAUCUGUGCAUUUCCCGGACGCUAAUGAUUGUUGGGGUUCUGCUCGAUGUUCCCUAAGAGCUGUCCAAUAAGUCUCUGAUCAACCUUUUGUUCCAAAGAUGUUAAGGAUACCUCCAUCCUUUGAAUCGUUGCUUGUUGACUUUGCAAAAUAAUCUUUACCAUGAGUAACCUAUACCAUCCCGUUUGGCUAUUUUCACUAAUAGGAUCGAAGCAAACUGAGAGAAACAUUGCCUAAAGAGUUUGUUAUCCAUGGUAUAGGGCCACUUGGAUAACACGGAAAAGUUUCACGACGAUUGCUCCUCUAUGAUCAUGGAAGAUAAACUAAAAAAUGAUCGUAACUAUAAAGAUCAAGUAAUCUAACUAUCCACAUCAUUUGGCUAAUGCUAAAAGUCAAUUGAUUUAGGAUUGAUUAGUUUUUAAAGUGCAUUGUUUCAAGGGUGUCUCGAGGGUCGAUUGAGGCUAUUUUGGGGUGGUUCUGUGUUUUGCUGGAGUUUUUUUCUUCUGUUUUGACUGAGGCUUUUGUAGUGUGCCGAAUUAUUUCUUUUUUUACUGUUCUUUUGUAGUGCAUUUUCUAAUUGCAUGAGUAUAAAAAUACCUAAUCUAUUUGGAUAUGCUUCGAUGGACUUAUUUGCUGCAAAUUGUGAGAGCAUGAGAAAUGUAAUUUAUAUCUUUUUUGGUGGUUCGUUGAUGAAAAAAAAACAUUUCACAUCAAUGCUUUUUUUGGUGGUAUCGUAGGAUUCUUUUCGCUGCUGCAAAAUGAAGUUUGCUAAGUUCAUUCAUAAAUCUUGAAAUGAGACUUAUUGAGUGACAUAUAUUUGGUCUUGUGUGUGUCAGAUAUAUGAGUGAUCCGACUAGACUUCUGUAGAUUUUUCCGUCAACUUUUUCUACUCCAUCAUGUUGUUGUAGUUUGUUGUUCAACGCCAUUGGUGUCGCUAUCGGCUUGCACGAUGUCAUGUGAAAUCUGUUUAACUUGUCUUUAGUAUACUUUUGUUGAGAGAUUAAUACUUUUUCAGGUUUCUGCUUCACUUGAAUUCCUAGAAAAUACUUCACGAGUCCCAAGUCUGUCAUUUCGAACUCUGACAUCAUUGCCCUUUUGAAUUCUUCAAUCAUUUGUGGACUUGUGCCUUUGUAGAUCAAGUCAUCAACAUAUAAGCACAAAAUAAGAAUUUUUUUGUUUUCGCCCUUUCUUAUAUAGAGAGAUGCUUCACUUGGACUUCUUUGGAAUCCGUUGUCUUGAAAGAAUCGAUCAAUUCUGCUGUUCCUUGCUCGUGGUGCUUGUUUGAGUCCGUAGAGCGCCUUUUUGAGUUGAUAGACUUUGUCUUCUUCUCCUUUCUUCUCGUAUCCUCGUAGUUGUUCCACAUAGACUUCUUCUAGUGUUCCAUUGAGGAAUGCUGACUUGACGUCCAGCUGGAAUAUUGGUAACUCCAUUUGAGCUGCUAGUGUUAUGACUGUUCUGAUUGUCUCCAUCCGUGCUAUUGGUGCGUAGGUUUCGUGAAAGUCGAUGCCAGACUAUUGUGAAUAUCCUUUUGCCACCAAUCUCACUUUGUGCUUCCGAAUGGAACCGUCUUCGUUAAAUUUGGUCUUGUAGAUCCAUUUAGACCUAUGACCGGUUUGUCUUUUGGUUUGUCCACGAGCUCCCAAAUUUUGUUCUUCUCGAUCAUUGAGAUCUCUAUGUUCAUUUUUUCUGUCCAGACUUUCUAUGUUGCUCAUUCUUCAAAUGUCUGGGGUUCACAAGAAAAAUAAGCUACAUGAAUUGAUUCAUAAAUUUCUCUUAAGAAUCUAACCUUUAAUGGAGGUGAGUCUGAAUCUUUCACGACGUCUCUGAAGUUGUCUCUCGUUGGACUCGUUGUUGGACGUCUUCCUUGUCUUAGAUUUUGAUCCGCCUCAUAUGGUGUUGUUGGUGUAGUUUUUGGAUUCUCUGGGAUCUCAUUUUUGAUGGAUAUUGAGUAUCUUGAGUCUCCCAACUCCACUCGGCCAUUUCGUUGAAGAUAACAUCUCGUGAAAUCACCACCUUGUACUUUACUGGAUUGUAGAGUCUAUAACAUUUGGAUUCGUCACUAUAUCCGAUGAAAAUGUCUAGAUUUGGGGUAGAGAUGUGUGCAUAUGCUAUGCAUCUAAAUACUUUAAGGUGAUCGACUUGCGGCCUUUUGUGGUGCCAUGCUUGAAAAGGUGUUUUGUUCUUCACUGCUUUGGUUGGCAAUUUGUUGAGGAUGUAGAUUGUUGUAUUGAUAGCUUCUGCCCUUAGUUGGUUGAGAAUUUUCUUAGCAGUCAUCAUGCUUCUUGACAUCUCCACAAUUGUACGGUUCUUUCGUUCUGCUAUGCCAUUUUGUUGUGGUGUGUACGACACUAUGAACUGCCUUUUGAUUCCGUUGGUGCGACAGUACUCCAUGAAAGCUUUAUAGAUGAAUUCUCCACCACGAUCUGUUCGUAGUGUCUUGAUUUAAUGCAUGCUUUCCUUCUCAGCUGCUGCUUUGAAUUGAAGAAACUUGGAGAAAGCUUUUGACUUUUGUUUAACAAAGAAUACCCACAUCAUUCUAGUAUAAUCAUCCACAAAAUAUUAGUGUGUACCAACUCUAGUGGUGUUUUUGCUCUCCAAGUGAUUUUUGAAAAUGGCAAGCGAUGCAUUUUUUCAUAUAUGCAUCCUUCACUAACCUUGUCUUCUCUGUUGAUUUGGAGAAGACCAACCACAAUAUUUUUAUGCUUCAACAAUUUAAACCCUUUGUAGUUUAGGUGUCCAUAUCGGAUAUUCCAUAGGAAAGAUUCAUCCAUGCUUUGGCUCUUCAUUGCUAAUUCUUCAUUCUUCGACAUUGUGAGAGGAAACAUCCGGUUGGAAGUCAUCAGAAUUUUCGCCACUUUCGAGUUGUUGGAUUUGUUGAUAAUCUCACAUUCUCUGUUAUCAAACAACAGUUUAUAAUUUUUAAGCAUUAGUUGUCUAACACUCAGAAGAUUUUGAGCUAAUUCAGGAACGUACAAAACUUAUUGGAUUAGAGUUUUGUUACCUCCCUUUCUUUGUACGAUGAUAAUACAUUUUCCUUCAACUUCCAACUUUUUACCAUCUCCAAUCUUCUAGUGAGACUUAUAUGUAUCAUCCAUCUCGGUGAAGGACUCUCGAUCUCCAGUCAUGUGAUUACUGCAACCGUUAUCCACCACCCAUGGAAGUUGUGAUUUUUGCUUGGCUUUGAAGCAAGUGUAUGCGACCAGUUUUUCUUCGUCCUUAUGUGCGAAGCAUGAUUCGCCUUCUUCUUUCUUGUUCUGGAACCAGCAAUUUCGUUGAGAGUGAUUUUGAAUUUUACACUUGGUGCACCUAAACCUGCAUUCUUUGGUAGCAUGGUUAGAUUUUUUGCAAAUUUUGCAUCCGUCAAUAGAGUUGCUUGAUUUCUCCAGAUACUAGCUCCAGUUGCUGUUUUUCUUGAAAUUCAAUUUUCCUCCUUUCUUUUGAAAGUUGCCCCCUCUGCGGUUCUGCUAUCCUUUGAUGUCGACCUUGGAUUGAAAAGCUUGUUCAAGUUGUUGGUUGGUAAACCGGCUCAAUCUCUACUCAUGAGAUAUAAGUGAUCCCAUAAGCUCUGUCAUGGGUAAAUUUUCAAGAUCUUUGGUUUGUUUUAUGACAGCGACAACAUGCUCAAACUUUGGUGUUAGGCUGCGGAGGAUCCUCUCCACGAUCUUCUUCUUGUCAAUAGUCUCUCCAGUGACUUUGAUCUGGUUCACUAUCUCUGCAACACGGGAAUGAAAGUGUUUGAUGCUUUCCCCUUCCUUCAUUGCCAGGUUGUCGAAUUGACGCCAUACAUUUUGGCGUUUUAUGGAGAUUGCUUUCUCGGACCUUUGAAAUUCGUUCUUCAGGACUUCCCAAUCUUCUUUAGCUGAUUUGAUGCCAAAAAUUUUCGGAAAUAUUGUUUUGCUCACCAAUGCUGAAUUAUCCUCAAUGCCCUGGCGUUCCUCUUGACAUUCUUCUUAUGCUCCUUCGUUUUCGUCCCACUUGUUUUGGGAUUGUCAUCUUUUGCCGAUUCCGCCUUUUUCCCGGUCGAUGUGGAGUCGUCCUUUUGUGGUGAUUGUUCGAUUCCUUCUUGAACAAUAUCCCACAAAUCUUGCAAAAUGAAGAUAGUCUCCAUUUGUGCUUUCCAAUAUUCGUACAAUUCACCGUGAAAAAUUGGGAUUUGAUUUGGAGAGUUGGCGAACAUGGAACUUGACGAUGGUGCUGCCAUAGGAUUUUGAGAGAAUUCUUUUGGUAGAAGUUUUGAGAGGGUUUUGUGAGGGUAUGUUAUAUAGGUGAAUUCUUCUGUAUACCUGGUAUACUGAAUGUUUUGGUAUGCCUAGUUUUUUUGUAGAUAACGUAGACCAUCAUAAACGUCCAUUUUAAGUAAUCAAUCUUGACGGUUGAUAAUAAAUAUAAUUUUAAAAUUAAAUUACACAUAUAAUUUAUGGUCUUGGUCUUAAAAUACUUUUACAAAUUCAUCAUUUUAAUGUUUCGAUAUUUCAUAUUGAUCGAUGAGUGUUUAUUUUAUCAUUAAAGUACAUACGGUAACGGUGUGACAAACGUCAAGUUUAGCCAUGAACUCUUCUUUCUCAAAGAAAAAAUCAAACCCUACGGCGGCACAACGACAUUGUGGCUAAUCAAACCCAUCACCGGCGAUGCUGCUAAUAUUCCAACUCUUCUUUAUUUUUGUCAGCUAAAUGUAUGAGGUGUUGUCGCCGUCUAUAGUCCGGAGCAAAGCCAUACCUUCUUCCUCCCGGCCCUGACACAACGCGACGAUGCCGCGGACUUAGUUCCAUACUAGGUGACUAGACCGGGCUGGGGACAUUAAAUUGGCAAGCCCUGAUUCAAUAAGGGGAAGGCCACUAACAAGACCCUCCGCUUUGACCCCAUUACCGUCGACGAUGUAUACAUAUCGUAGCCUUGGUAUCUACCUGGGUUGCUUUCUUGAACCUUGUUUCUUCUUCCGGGCGAAAUUUUGUUGAUUAAUUAGCUCGUGUAUUCUGAUUACUAAUUGAACAACAACUUAGAAUGGGAUCCUGAGCGUAAUUGAACAACUGCCUAGCUAGUGUAUUCUAAUUAGUAAUCUUGCUUUAAUUACAAUACGAACCAUCAUUUGUUCUAGUUCAGAUGAUCCAAUGCAUUCAAAUACUCUACAAUUUAACUAGAGUUUCUUUCAACUAGUGAUGUUACAAUUGCUACUGCAUCUUAUAUUUGGCUUUUUUCUAGAGCCAGAAUUAUUGCUUUCAGAAAAUUCAUUCCCAUCCGACUAUAUGAUGUCCGCCGAAGAUUGAUGAGGCCAUGUUUGAUUUUUGUGCAUAUUGUGUUAAGGAUUUAGAGAUCAUUUGCAGAAAUGGAUCAUGUUAUUAUUCCAGUGUUCUUGCAUAGUUUUUGUUAUUUAUCUUACUUCUCUCCAUUCAAUGAAUAUUUGCAACCGAGUUGCAAAGUACCUGGCUGAUAUUCUGAUUUGUUAUGUCUUCGACGAUGAUUUUAUACAAUGUAAUAAUGGGAGGAAGACGAUGGAAGAAUUUAUGGAAUUUUUUAUAAAGAAGAGUUUAUGGUGAUUUAAAUUAGUGUUUGAUUCAAGCUGUUAGCAUAUAUACUUAUACAAAUAAACACUCAUUGGUCGAUGCGAAAUUCUGAAACACUAGAAUGACGAAUUUGUAAAAGUAUUUUAAGUUCAAGACCAUAAACGAUAUGAUUAAAUAAGUUUUAAAUUUAUAUUUAUUAUCAACCGUCAAGAUCGAUCAUUUAAAAUGAACAUUCAUGAUGAUUCACGUUACCUAUAAAAAAACUAGGCACACCAAAACUUUCGAUAUACCAGGAAUACUGAAGAAUUCACCUAUAAUAUGGUAAUCAAAGUACUAAAGUGUAACUUUUCUGAUGUGGAAGUCAAAGUACUAAAGUGUAACUUUUCUGAUGUGGAAGAUCAGUUAUUAAAACCGCAACCACAGAGCAUACUCAGCGUGACGUUAGCUCUGAUACCAAAUUUGUUGGGGCGCUUGCGGAAAUGUAGCGGCAUUUAGGAUCGAAAAGAUAGUAUUUUGAUAACUCACUCAAUUGAUCACUCAAUUGAUCACUCAAUUUUGUAAAUAUUACAAUUUGGUUACUUGACCAAUUCCCUCACCCUCACAAUUUACUCUCUACGUCGUCUUGCUCACUUUUGCUUUGCUUACAAUUUUUUUUCUCUAUUUUUCACAUUUGCGUAAAGUGAGGCUUCAUAUUUAUAGGAAAAUACAACCUCCUUAGGAAGAUACUAGCACACUUGGUAGGUUUAGUGUGUGGCUAGAAUUAGUUUAGUUAUUAAAACAUAGUAAUUAGUUUAGUUGAGUAGUUUCGAUAUUUUUGUGGAGUGAUUUAGAGAAAGAAUACUCUAGAUUGCUGAUUACUUACUUUCAAGACCUUGUAUGUCUUCUGCUACUACUUCUUCUUUUCUUCAAUGGGAUCAGUCCUCCGUUGAUUUAUGGGUCAGAGACACGGAGUAUUCAUGAAAGAGCUCCUCUGGAUAGUAUGACAAUGAAGGAAUCCCUCGCCGAUACAGUACGAAGGAUUCAGAAAUUUGACACGGGAACUGGAAACAGAGUAAUCACAAUCAGGUGCAGAAACUGAACCUUAAUCAAAUUUAAAUUAUGGAUGCCAAACCACUAAAAUCAUACCUGUAAUUGGAAUUCACAAAAAUAAGUUCAAUGCGAUCCUUUAUGGUCGGAAGUUCUGGUCUCCGAAUACUCCCACCGUCGGGAACUCUCAUCGUCGAAUACUCCCAAUUGUGACCAAAAACCUGUUGAAAUCGAAGAUAUGCCCCAAAAUUAAUUACAAUAAAAUUCGAAAGUAUAAUGACAUCCGAUGUAAUAACUUACAAAUAUAAGGAUAUAAACCAUAUUUUACUUAUUUAAGUACAUAACAAUUGGGCUUUAAUCUAAAAAACAUGCCCAAAUCAAAAUGGGUUUCAGAAAACCAAAUUUAUUAGAGGCUUAUUUUGUUUCAUUAUUUGUCGUAGCUGCUACUAACGGAAAUUCACAAAAACAGUUUUUUGUGGGUCUUUGUUUUGUUUGUUCGAUCAAAAUUCACAGAAAUAGUUUUUUGUUGGGGUUUUGUUUUGUUUGUUCGAUCAAAAUUCACAGAAACAGUUUUUUGUUGGGGUUUUGUUUAGUAUUCUCUGAGAGCUGUCCAAUAGGUCUUCUGAUUGACGUUUUGUGCCAAGGAAGAGUAAGAUGAUUUCAUGUAUUUAAUCAUUGUUUGUUGACCAUGCAAAAUAAUAGUUUAGUUAGCCAAUUGCGCUUGAAUGGUCUUCAUCAUCUGGAGGAUGUCCUCAUUGAUUCCUCUAGUGGUGGUCGAAUUCUGUUGUAGUGGUUUCACUUGAAAUCCUGGAGGUCCUUGGUUGCUCAAAUUUCCUCGAGGAAUGGUGUUCGUGUUGACAUUAUAAUCUUCCACUCUAGGCUUGUACAAAUCAGAGCAAGGGUGUGCAUGUUGGAAUUGCCGCCUAUGGCGUUCUUUGCUCUAAAGUCAUGAUAUCCUGCAGACUGCACGGAUAGCCCCCUCGUACAAAAUCAACUUAUUCCACUAUCAUGGAUUUGCUGGUGAGGAAGUUAUCAUAUCCUCUCUGGCUAUCACAAACACCACACCAAGCACAAGUGUAAACAGAAGCAGCAGGGGGGUUUGGAAUCUUCAAACUGGCAAUCCUCUUCUCUAAUGCCUUAACCUGAGCUCUCAAAGCAAUAUUAUAUGCAUUACCAGAGGAUACUACAUUUGGUGGUUGAAUAGUGUUCCCCGCCUAAUUUCUCGACUUUGUUGCACAUGAGGCAAAGUGUUGCAUAAUAGCUUCAAGAGUAAGAGCAGUGACAUCUCCAUUUGCUAGUUGUGUAUUAGCAUUGAGGUUGCGUAAUCUAAGGAUCUGCUGAACAUGCUUGCGAGUUGACUGUCGGUGUAACCAUGGUGAGUGCAAUCGGUAAGAAGCUCUUGAAAUAUGUCCCACAUGUCAUACAAGUUCUCUCCUUCUCUUUGAUGAAUCCGAAAGAUUGAUUACCUGAUAGUUGUGGUCUUUGCUGACGGAUAGUACUCCUCUACAAAAGGUUGAGCUAGAGUUUCCCAAUAUCUAAAUGUGCCUUGAGGUUGGCUAGUCAACCAUCUUCUCGCUACUCCUCGAAUAGACCACUUGAACAGCUUGAGCUUUAUUGCUUCAUCAGUCAAACCUCAAAAUUUGACAUUCUCACAAUAAGUAUAAAAAUUCACUAGAUGGGCACAUGGAUUUUCAUUGGUCCUACCAUCAAACUUCAAGUUUUUCUUAAUUAAGGAGAUGAGAUUCCCCUUGAUCUCAUAGUUGGCAUAAUCUUAUUCAGGAGGAACCACACUCCAUAUGAAGUUUGCAGCACUAGGCUUGGUAUAACCAGCAAGGGUUCUUGUUGCUGCCAUUGGUUAAGUAAGCCGGGAACUGUAACCGUGGUCUCAUUUUGAGUCCGAGUCUGAAGAGUGUUCGAGCCGAGAUUCUACAUCACUUCCCAAUAGAGCCUUGAGAGAUUCAACAAUCUCUCCUUCCUCUUGUGAUGCGUGCGAGUCCUGAUGAGAGUCUUGAUUUGAUUUGGACCGUGUCAUUAGGUGACAUGCAAUGAAUUCUCACUUGCACAAAGAAAAGCAAUAAACUACGUAAAAAACCGUGACCAAAAAAUUUAAAACGGUAGCGAAUGACUAAUAGUAAUCGAACUACUUUCACAUACUAGAAAGAAGUCCCCAACAACGAUGCCAAUUUGAUGGAUGUUUAUAGGCGUUAUCAAAAUAAUCCGGCUAAUGAACUAACUAGAGUUGAAUCUCCCUAUGGUCUCUUUUAGUAUCUUACUCAAAGUUGUAAUUAGUACUAAUCAAAGUAUCAAUGAAUGAGGUUUAGGUGCCACGAGGAUCAAUCAAUCAAUGAAAGUGAAAAUGAAAAUUGCUUCAAAGUAAAUGGUUUGCAAGACUCCACGAUAAGAGUUUAGAAAAUCAGAGAUGAAACUGCUUAGAUGUCGAAUCUCCCUAGGCAAUUCUAAUUCACAAAUGACAGACAAAUUUCACGAUUUACACGACACAUGAUAGAUUCAAUAAACUGUCACAAGUCUUCUCUUAAAUGAAAUUUCGCUUAAAUGAAGACGAUGAACAAGACAAAUCGAGUGUUAUUAGUCGGUGAUGUCUAAAUCCUUUGCCAAUAAAUCUAUGAACCACCCCAGUUGUUUGUGCUUUCAUGUUCAAUAAUUUCCCAUGCUAUAGGGUACAUUCCAUUAUUUUCAUCAACACCAACACCUUGUAAUAGUUUCCAUCCAAUACCUUAAAACCCUUAUUCAUAGGACCUAGACAUAUGUAGAUUCAUUAAAAUAUUAGUACAUCAUACUCAAUCUCCAAUGUGGUACCAAACUUUGGUCUAUCUAGUUCACACUUGUAAUCCCAAAGUUUGGUGAACUGUUAUGUUUUUUCAUCGUGAAUGAGUUUCUUUGCAUAUUUCUUUAUCCUGUGACCUUGAGCGAAUUGAUCUUCAACCCAAAAUCAGUGUAUACAGUAUGCCUAAAAUUCCUAACAGUCCAGUUUGGGUCAAUACGGAAUCACCCAAUUUAAUGGUUGGCCAAUAAGAAAACCCUUGCCACCCUUAUGUCCUCUUCAACAUGACACACGUGUAUUGGUUAACCAGAGACCAAUCUCACUGUUUCACUCCCUCCUCUAAUAGUGGAAUAUAGGCCACAUUGUUGCAUAUAUUCACACUUCCAUCGAAUCUUUUCGUUCACUAAAAAGCGCACACCAGGCCUUUGGAUUAUCACAUUCAUCUUAUAGAAUUCUUUGGAGUCAUCAAACGAACGAAAUUCCCUACCAAAAAAGAUUCCAGCUUUGUACAAAUCCAUGUCCUUCUCAAACAUUGGGUACCUUAGAGGCCCAUAAGUUAGUUCUUCCUUGGACCCCCAUCCAGUUUGAUGGGCUAGCAGUUUUUCAUUGAUGUCAACGCCGACAUAUAAAGGAUUGAAAGCAGAGCAUGUAUAACGAUGUUGAGGGUCGACGUAGGGACCUUGGGGUGGGCUCAUAGGUGGCUCACUAUAACGUUCUCCUUCAACAUCGGUUACGCCAGUACGUUGCCUUCCUCGGUGAACCGAAAGAAAAAGGUUCUUCCUCAUCUUCUUCCAACACAAAUUCCCAAUCAUCAGUGUCUUCCACCUCCAUAUCAUAUGCGUAAAAGUUAGAAUCAUGUGAGUCAUCAGAUGAAUGUUCAAAUUCAAGAUCAUCAUCAGCUUCCCACUCCAUCAUGCCAAUUGGGUAUUUUUCCUUCAUUAUCAGAAUUAUCAACUUCUUUGCCAGCAAAAUAUUCUGCUUCUAGUUCAUCCCAGUCUUGCUGAGCUUCUUCUUCUGGUGCAUUGAUAUUUUUGAGAGAAGGCUCUAUGGGAACAUUCAAUAUGUUUGCAUUGUUUAAUGGACCCACCGAUUCCAACAUAGUUGGACCUACCUUGUGGACCAUUGGGGCAUCAACAGCAAAAUCACAUUGUGGGGACACAUCAUAGUUCUCCUUCUCAACAUUUUCUUCCAAAUAAGUAUUAUGAGCUUAUAAGUUGGGGCAUUGAAGGAAAAGGACACUCAGAGGUCAUGCAUUCAUUGUCCUUGAACCCAUCGCACUAGAUAUACCCCCCUUCAUUUACUUCUUUCUCCUCAUCACGAUCAAGUGGAGUUAGUAUCACACUUUAACUGCCACCUAGGGUUCCCGACUUCAUCAAAUCUUCUCUUAUCUGCCACAUCGUCAUUUGUGCUUGGAAUUCAGUUAACUACUUCUAAUACACCUUGACCAUAAGGACAUCAGCUGCCAACCCAUCGGCCAGGGCCAUUAUGUCGGCUUCACCCUCUAAUGGUGUCAACGCCUCUUCAAUUUCUUUCAUUGGAACCAUCCACAAAAACUGAAAGAAUUCCCAGUCAAUGUCAAGCAUCUAAACCAUCUUGUUUAGUUCAAUCAUGGAGAAGAAAUCAGGGCUAGCACCAUCAAAAUGAGCAAUUGAACUGUAUAGGUGCUGAGUUCGGAUCGACAUACUGUUGUAAUACAUUUUAACGGUUAUCCUCUUCCCAACGCUUACAAAAUUAUGGCAAGUUACAGGAGCCAAUCCUAAUAUACAAUACGACAAAAGGAAACCCCAAACCCUAAACAGUAUUCAAUGCAUUAUCAUAAUCAGCUUACAACAAACCAUUAUAACUACAUGCAAAACGGACUGAACAGAGGUGGGAACAAGUCAUGCUAUUUUCUUGGACCAAGCUCUGGUGGAUUAUGGCCGACCGGCCGAUGCGUCCACAUUACCAACAUUGCUCUUAAACUAAAAUAUCCUACCGCAUCAACACAAUGGUGUCAGAUGAUGGCAACACAGAGAAAUGCACAAGAUUAAAGAGAAAAAUACGUCAAACCCACUCGCCGGAAAGGCAAGAGUCGCCGGAAAGACCUUUCUCUUACUAUAAUCCGGUUGUCAAAUUUUGUACUGGUGAAAAGGGAGAGAGAGAGACAUGCAUAUCAUUUUAUGUAGAGGGAAUAUGGAAGGUCCCAUUUGGUUUUGGGUUUGGUUGAAAUUCUUUUAGUUUCAUAUAGGUGAUAAGUUCAUUAAUCAACUUAAAAUAUCUAGUAACGUUGAGAGCGACUGUGGCCAACUUGAUGGAAAAAUUAGAUGUGGGAUAGACGGAAAUAGUGCUCGAUCGUGUUUUGAUGGAUUUAUCGACCUAAGAACCCGAUAAAAAAUCGGAUGAAACCUUUGGGACUAUUUAAGUUAAAGACAUUGUUUUACUCCAAGAAAUAAAACAAAAUUUGGAUGGGAUUACACUACAAAAGGACUAUAGAAGGAGAGAGCAUUUUCUGGUCGCAUGAAUAUACAAAACACGUAAUCUAUUAGUAUAUGCUUCAAUAGACUUACUUGCAAAAAAUUGUGAGAGUAGGAAGAAGGUAAUUUAUCUCUUUUUGGGAGGUUCGUUGAUGAAAAAAAACUAAACUAACAAAAUAAUAUUUCGUAGGCAGGAACUAUAAGCUUGAGACAAUCUUGGAGAGCUUUGGCAUCAGGCAAGAUGGAAACUACAUGGGUGAAGAAAUAAAGAAGGUUAUCUGAGAACGUAUUGGCGUAGAAGCGAGGUUGGUGUGUUCCUUAUUGCCGUUGAUGGAGGUAGAAGCAAUCGUGGAAAUUAUCCUUUGGGAAGAAAUGGAUAUCAUGUCUUUUUUCAUUAUCCUUAGUGUUUUCAUUUCUAAUAAUUGGCUGCUUGUAGUUUGAAUCUGAUGUGUUGUAUUUUUGACACACUUUUUCUCAUUAAACUAUAUUUUGUGUGUCAAAAUGUAUUCAAACUCAGUAUUUUCAGUACAUGUUUAGUUCUCUUGGCCGUUGGGGCCGUAUUACGUUGUUUGGAAUAUUUUUAAUGCAUUUUCAGGCGAUGUACAAUGUUUGGGGACAAGCAGGAACUAGGAUGGCCGAUUUAAUCUGUUCUGGGGAAAGGUUUACUAAAAU